RNAcentral lists this long non-coding RNA (219 nucleotides) under Salvia miltiorrhiza (redroot sage). RNAcentral describes it as "long non-coding RNA (SMIL_LNC012648)". The record is from RNAcentral. Lineage: Eukaryota; Viridiplantae; Streptophyta; Magnoliopsida; Lamiales; Lamiaceae.
CUGUGUAUUAUAAACAGUUAUGGCUCAAAAUCUCACAGGUUUAUUCAACGUCCAAAAAUCAAGGUUAAAAUCACUCUAGAAUUAUGCAAAUUAGUUCCAAUUAUACUUAAAUCAUCAAAGAAAAUCAAAUUCCAAUUUUUUUCACAGAAAUCAUCAUUGGCAUCUCACCAGAAAUCUAAUGGAGCAAUAAUCAUCUAAAAAACAAUCACAAACACACAC